This 140-nucleotide ribosomal RNA is filed under the name uncultured bacterium. Its description in RNAcentral is "partial 16S ribosomal RNA". It matches the Rfam family "Bacterial small subunit ribosomal RNA", at positions 355 to 507 of the family's 1533-position model. The record is from RNAcentral.
UGGGGAAUAUUGGGCAAUGGAGGAAACCCUGACCCAGCGACGCCGCGUGCGGGAUGAAGGCCUUCGGGUUGUAAACCGCUUUCAGCAAGGAAGAAGCGAAAGUGACGGUACUUGCAGAAGAAGCACCGGCUAACUAUGUG